RNAcentral lists this long non-coding RNA (342 nucleotides) under Micromonas commoda. RNAcentral's name for it is "long non-coding RNA (MCOM_LNC000411)". The record is from RNAcentral. Lineage: Eukaryota; Viridiplantae; Chlorophyta; Mamiellophyceae; Mamiellales; Mamiellaceae.
UCCCGCACUUUUUGCCGGAGAAAGUGCGCCCACGCCGCGACGUACAACGCGAAACCUCGCACCGUCCCCUCGCGCGCCAGCCUCUCCAUGAUCACCUCGCGGCCCUGCACCCUGAACUUUUCGCUGCCGUCCAUGGCGACGCGGUCCAAGGUGUCCUUGACGGCGACGUUCUCGAACCGCGAGAGCACCAGGUCGACGUACUCGUCCAGCACGGCGAGGAGUUCGCCGGGCAUGGUGGGAUCCGCGACGAGCGAAGCCGCGAUCUCCUCCGUCAUCAGCCGCCUGAGGAAGGGCUUGAUCAUCUUGUGCGUGACAGCCUCGUGGACGUGCGUCAGUCCCGCG